Molecule: ribosomal RNA, 249 nt
Filed under: Triticum aestivum (bread wheat)
Lineage: Eukaryota; Viridiplantae; Streptophyta; Magnoliopsida; Poales; Poaceae
Description: partial small subunit ribosomal RNA
Source: RNAcentral
AUGAGUUGCAUAAGUUGGAACUGCCGGGGGCUUGGGAACCCCGAGGCAGUUCGCGAGCUUCGCAAUGUAGUGAAGCAAGAAGGGCAUGUGCUGGUUUUUGUCAUGGAGACGAAUAUCAGAGGAAAGCGAGUCGAGGAUCUGCAGCAUACUCUAGGGUUUGCGGGCAGUUUUGCAGUGGACAGUUCUGGUCUAAAGACAUUAAUGUUGAGCUUAAAAACUUCAACAGCAGUCAUAUUGAUGUGGUGGUAA